GCUUGUCUCAAAGAUUAAGCCAUGCAUGUCUCAGUAUAAGUUCCUGUACGGCGAAACUGCGAAUGGCUCAUUAAAACAGUUAUAGUUUAUUUGAUGGUCGCUCACUACAUGGAUAACCGUGGUAAUUCUAGAGCUAAUACAUGCGUCAAAACCUGACUUCUUGGAAGGGUUGUGUUUAUUAGAUAAAAAACCAAUCCAUGCUCUGCAUGGUAUUGUGGUGACUCAUAAUAACCGAUCGAAUCGCAUGGCGUAAGCCGGCGAUAAAUCAUUCAAGUUUCUGACCUAUCAGCUUCCGACGGUAGGGUAUUGGCCUAC
Molecule: ribosomal RNA, 315 nt
Filed under: uncultured fungus
Lineage: Eukaryota; Fungi
Description: partial small subunit ribosomal RNA
Rfam family: Eukaryotic small subunit ribosomal RNA
Source: RNAcentral